UACCCAGGCGGCCGUUGGCCUUGGUUCUAGAGCCCAUGAUGCCCUCAUGGCCUCGGCUCUGUCUGUCCAUGCCGCUGCCCUUAGCAUUCGGGCUUCUGUCCCCCGUCACCGAUGUCCCAGCCUUGCGUCUGCAUUGAAGGCAAGAAGCCGAGGGCGGAGGCACCUACCUCCCAGGAGACUCUCAGGAGCAAACUCCCCCAGAAACUCCAGGAGACCUCAGUUCCACAUCUCCCGCGUCAGGUCACGUCGGACGUGCUUAUGUGGGUUCGUUCUGGGCUUUUGUGUUGAGCCCGUCACGUGGCACAUCUUCAGGCCCAGUCUGUCAGCUGUUCUCUCCCCGCUCCGGGACUGAUGCUGGCGAAAGGUACAAUUUUGACAUCAGAAUAAGCAACAAGCGGAUGCAUCAAAUAUUUAAUUACAGGACCAGAUGAAGAAAGCAGAUGAUGGAAAUGUGGUCUUGUCACUCCCCUCACCCCCAGGUCUGAGGGAUCAGCAAGGUCCUGUG
Suricata suricatta (meerkat) is the source of this 505-nucleotide long non-coding RNA. RefSeq lists it as uncharacterized. The transcript has 3 exons. NCBI's taxonomy places the organism in Eukaryota, Metazoa, Chordata, Mammalia, Carnivora, Herpestidae. The record is from RefSeq and is a predicted model, not a curated record.